GACGAACGCUGGCGGCGUGCCUAAUACAUGCAAGUCGAACGAACUCUGGUAUUGAUUGGUGCUUGCAUCAUGAUUUACAUUUGAGUGAGUGGCGAACUGGAGAGUAACACGUGGGAAACCUGCCCAGAAGCGGGGGAUAACACCUGGAAACAGAUGCUAAUACCGCAUAACAACUUGGACCGCAUGGUCCGAGCUUGAAAGAUGGCUUCGGCUAUCACUUUUGGAUGGUCCCGCGGCGUAUUAGCUAGAUGGUGGGGUAACGGCUCACCAUGGCAAUGAUACGUAGCCGACCUGAGAGGGUAAUCGGCCACAUUGGGACUGAGACACGGCCCAAACUCCUACGGGAGGCAGCAGUAGGGAAUCUUCCACAAUGGACGAAAGUCUGAUGGAGCAACGCCGCGUGAGUGAAGAAGGGUUUCGGCUCGUAAAACUCUGUUGUUAAAGAAGAACAUAUCUGAGAGUAACUGUUCAGGUAUUGACGGUAUUUAACCAGAAAGCCACGGCUAACUACGUGCCAGCAGCCGCGGUAAUACGUAGGUGGCAAGCGUUGUCCGGAUUUAUUGGGCGUAAAGCGAGCGCAGGCGGUUUUUUAAGUCUGAUGUGAAAGCCUUCGGCUCAACCGAAGAAGUGCAUCGGAAACUGGGAAACUUGAGUGCAGAAGAGGACAGUGGAACUCCAUGUGUAGCGGUGAAAUGCGUAGAUAUAUGGAAGAACACCAGUGGCGAAGGCGGCUGUCUGGUCUGUAACUGACGCUGAGGCUCGAAAGUAUGGGUAGCAAACAGGAUUAGAUACCCUGGUAGUCCAUACCGUAAACGAUGAAUGCUAAGUGUUGGAGGGUUUCCGCCCUUCAGUGCUGCAGCUAACGCAUUAAGCAUUCCGCCUGGGGAGUACGGCCGCAAGGCUGAAACUCAAAGGAAUUGACGGGGGCCCGCACAAGCGGUGGAGCAUGUGGUUUAAUUCGAAGCUACGCGAAGAACCUUACCAGGUCUUGACAUACUAUGCAAAUCUAAGAGAUUAGACGUUCCCUUCGGGGACAUGGAUACAGGUGGUGCAUGGUUGUCGUCAGCUCGUGUCGUGAGAUGUUGGGUUAAGUCCCGCAACGAGCGCAACCCUUAUUAUCAGUUGCCAGCAUUAAGUUGGGCACUCUGGUGAGACUGCCGGUGACAAACCGGAGGAAGGUGGGGAUGACGUCAAAUCAUCAUGCCCCUUAUGACCUGGGCUACACACGUGCUACAAUGGAUGGUACAACGAGUUGCGAACUCGCGAGAGUAAGCUAAUCUCUUAAAGCCAUUCUCAGUUCGGAUUGUAGGCUGCAACUCGCCUACAUGAAGUCGGAAUCGCUAGUAAUCGCGGAUCAGCAUGCCGCGGUGAAUACGUUCCCGGGCCUUGUACACACCGCCCGUCACACCAUGAGAGUUUGUAACACCCAAAGUCGGUGGGGUAACCUUUUAGGAACCAGCCGCCUAAGGUGGGACAGAUGAUUAGGGUG
This 1489-nucleotide ribosomal RNA is filed under the name Lactiplantibacillus plantarum. Its description in RNAcentral is "bacterial SSU rRNA". It matches the Rfam family "Bacterial small subunit ribosomal RNA". The record is from RNAcentral. Lineage: Bacteria; Bacillati; Bacillota; Bacilli; Lactobacillales; Lactobacillaceae.